Molecule: ribosomal RNA, 398 nt
Filed under: uncultured bacterium
Lineage: Bacteria
Description: partial 16S ribosomal RNA
Rfam family: Bacterial small subunit ribosomal RNA
Source: RNAcentral
AUACGUAGGGUGCGAGCGUUGUCCGGAAUUACUGGGCGUAAAGAGCUCGUAGGUGGUUUGUCGCGUCGUCUGUGAAAUUCCGGGGCUUAACUCCGGGCGUGCAGGCGAUACGGGCAUAACUUGAGUACUGUAGGGGAGACUGGAAUUCCUGGUGUAGCGGUGAAAUGCGCAGAUAUCAGGAGGAACACCGGUGGCGAAGGCGGGUCUCGGGGCAGUAACUGACGUUGAGGAGCAAAAGCAUGGGUAGCGAACAGGAUUAGAUACCCUGGUAGUCCAUGCCGUAAACGGUGGGCGCUAGGUGUAGGGGUCUUCCACGACUUCUGUGCCGUAGCUAACGCAUUAAGCGCCCCGCCUGGGGAGUACGGCCGCAAGGCUAAAACUCAAAGGAAUUGACGGGG